Molecule: transfer RNA, 90 nt
Filed under: Candidatus Berkelbacteria bacterium
Lineage: Bacteria; Candidatus Berkelbacteria
Description: tRNA-Ser
Rfam family: tRNA
About the family: Transfer RNA (tRNA) molecules are approximately 80 nucleotides in length. Their secondary structure includes four short double-helical elements and three loops (D, anti-codon, and T loops).
Source: RNAcentral
GGUGAGGUCGCAUAGUGGCCUAGUGCGCUGCCUUGGAAAGGCAGUAUCCGCUAACGCGGAUCGUGGGUUCGAAUCCCACCCUCACCGCCA